CACGCCGUAAACGAUGGAUACUAGCUGUUCGGAGCAAUCUGAGUGGCUAAGCGAAAGUGAUAAGUAUCCCACCUGGGGAGUACGUUCGCAAGAAUGAAACUCAAAGGAAUUGACGGGGGCCCGCACAAGCGGAGGAGCAUGUGGUUUAAUUCGAUGAUACGCGAGGAACCUUACCAGGGCUUAAAUGGGAGACGACAGGACUGGAAACAGUUUUUUCUUCGGACGUCUUUCAAGGUGC
Molecule: ribosomal RNA, 238 nt
Filed under: uncultured Flavobacterium sp.
Lineage: Bacteria; Pseudomonadati; Bacteroidota; Flavobacteriia; Flavobacteriales; Flavobacteriaceae
Description: partial 16S ribosomal RNA
Rfam family: Bacterial small subunit ribosomal RNA
Source: RNAcentral